Molecule: ribosomal RNA, 444 nt
Filed under: uncultured bacterium
Lineage: Bacteria
Description: bacterial SSU rRNA
Rfam family: Bacterial small subunit ribosomal RNA
Source: RNAcentral
AACGCGAAGAACCUUACCAGCCCUUGACAUGUCCCGUAUGGGGUGGGGGAGACCCACUUCUUCAGUUCGGCUGGCGGGAACACAGGUGCUGCAUGGCUGUCGUCAGCUCGUGUCGUGAGAUGUUGGGUUAAGUCCCGCAACGGGCGCAACCCUCAUCUUCAGUUGCCACCGGGUUAUGCCGGGCACUCUGAAGAAACUGCCGGUGACAAGCCGGAGGAAGGCGGGGAUGACGUCAAGUCCUCAUGGCCCUUAUGGGCUGGGCUACACACGUGCUACAAUGGCGGUGACAAUGGGAGGCAAUGGCGCGAGCCUGCGCAAAUCUCAAAAAGCCGUCUCAGUUCGGAUUGCACUCUGCAACUCGAGUGCAUGAAGUUGGAAUCGCUAGUAAUCGCGGAUCAGCACGCCGCGGUGAAUACGUUCCCGGGCCUUGUACACACCGACAUA